AGAGUUGUAAUGUACAUGUAAGAGUUGUAAAAUACAGGUAAGAGUUGUAAAGUACAUGUAAAAAAUGUAAAACACAGGUAAGAGUUGUAAAAUACAGGUAAGAGUUGUAAUGUACAUGUAAGAGUUGUAAAACACAGGUAAGAGUUGUAGAAUACAGGUAAGAGUUGUAAUGUACAUGUAAGAGUUGUAAAGUACAUGUAAGAAUUGUAAAACAGGUAAGAGUUGUAAAAUACUAGUAAGAGUUGUUAUGUAAACUUUAAAUUGUGUAGUUAUUUUUUUAAUUAUCAUCUAAUCAUAAAUAUUAUUAAUCAAAUAUGCAGUAUUUGUUUUUUAAAAUGUGCCGACCAGAGGAGGAUGGGUCCCCCCUGUUGAGUUUUGGUUCCUCCCAAGGUUUCUCCCUACAUUUUGAAGGGUGUUUUUCCUUGCCACUAUCGCCUUUGGCUUGCUCACUGGGGGUAUUGAGGCACAAUUUAACCCGUGUAGUAAAUUAGACUUUUCAGUCUAAAUUGAAUGUAAUAUAUAAAUAUAUAAUAUAAAUAUAAAAUAUAAAAGACUGCGUACUCUAAAAUAAUGGCUAGAAAACGUCUUUAACUUGUCUCGCUGUCGUCUGUAGUCUCAUUUACAAGCAAAUGACUAAAUCUUACUAUUUUUUAAUUGUUUAAAAUUAAAAAAAGCUCACAAACUUAGAAGUUACCAAUUUUUAAAACAGUCUGAUGAAUCAUUCAAUUAAUGAAGUCAAUUAAGCGCAAUAACUUAAGCUCAGUAUAGCACAAUAAUAUACAGAGCGCGACCAGUGUUCGAUUCACAGGAAAAUGAUUUUGAGCUGGUUCUUAAGUCAUUCAAAAACAUACAAAACACUCAGUGUAGUCCGAUUCACGAGCAAAUGACUCUUAAGACCUGGUUAUUUUAAUGAAUGAUAAAAAAAAAUAUUCACAAACUUAGGAGUUACCCGUUUAAAACAGUCCGAUUAAUGAAUUAAUUUAAGCACAAUAACUGAAGCGCAGUAUAGCACAAUAACAGUGUGACUAGUGUCUGAUUUACAACCAAAUGAUUAUUAUGAACUGUUUUUUUUUUUAAAGUGAUUAAACUAUAGUGAUUCAACCGGUCUACAGCCAUGGACCAGAUCCAAGUAAACAAAUUUUGAAUAAAGAGUGAUUCUUCCACAAUACAUGAGUCUCGACUGUUAUUUCCAUCUUAUAAAGUUUCAUAAGAAUGCAGAGAUGUGCUCAGAUUGUAUUUUUAACUCAAGGAUGUGUUGGGAGAGUGAAAACAGUGACACAAUUUCACACUGUAGUAUUGAGUAAUAAAUGAGUUUAUUCAGAUUUCAUUUUCAUGGCAUUUAUAAAUUGGUCCAGAUAUCUGUGACAGAAAAGUAAAAAAUUGAGGUAUAUUUACAUUAUUUUACUUCUUGUUUCAACAACUUUUAUCCUAAAUCAAAACAAUGAGGUCAUUGUAAUUGCAGUCUCAUAGUUAUGUUGGGCAUAUCUUACAUUCACUCUUUGGUCUUGUCUAUUUUAAAAUCCAAAUUACAUUCUCUUGUGGUCGCAAAA
Ctenopharyngodon idella (grass carp) is the source of this 1550-nucleotide long non-coding RNA. RefSeq lists it as uncharacterized. Lineage: Eukaryota; Metazoa; Chordata; Actinopteri; Cypriniformes; Xenocyprididae. The record is from RefSeq and is a predicted model, not a curated record. The transcript has 2 exons.